CCUACGGGCGGCAGCAGUGAGGAAUAUUGGUCAAUGGCCGGAAGGCUGAACCAGCCAAGCCGCGUGAAGGACGAAGGUGCCAAGCAUUGUAAACUUCUUUUGUCAAGGGACAAAAUCAGGCUCGAGAGCCUGACCGAGGGUACUUGAAGAAAAAGCAUCGGCUAACUCCGUGCCAGCAGCCGCGGUAAUACGGAGGAUGCGAGCGUUAUCCGGAUGUAUUGGGUUUAAAGGGUGCGUAGGCGGGCUGUUAAGUCAGCGGUAAAAGCCCGGGGCUCAACCCCGGCGAGCCGUUGAAACUGGCGGUCUGGAGAGGGCGGGAGGUAGGGGAAAUGCGCAUUGUAGCGGUGAAAUGCU
This 354-nucleotide ribosomal RNA is filed under the name uncultured bacterium. Its description in RNAcentral is "partial 16S ribosomal RNA". It matches the Rfam family "Bacterial small subunit ribosomal RNA", at positions 338 to 690 of the family's 1533-position model. The record is from RNAcentral.